UACGUAGGUGGCAAGCGUUGUCCGGAUUUACUGGGCGUAAAGGGCGUGCAGGCGGUCUGUUAAGUCUAGGGUGAAAGCUCCCGGCUCAACUGGGAGAGGUCCUUGGAUACUGGCGGACUUGAGGGAGGCAGAGGAAAGUGGAAUUCCUGGUGUAGCGGUGGAAUGCGCAGAUAUCAGGAGGAACACCGAUGGCGAAGGCAGAUCUCUGGGCCGUAACUGACGCUGAGGAGCGAAAGCAUGGGGAGCGAACAGG
RNAcentral lists this ribosomal RNA (253 nucleotides) under uncultured bacterium. RNAcentral describes it as "partial 16S ribosomal RNA". It matches the Rfam family "Bacterial small subunit ribosomal RNA", at positions 524 to 776 of the family's 1533-position model. The record is from RNAcentral.